Long non-coding RNA from Acanthopagrus latus (yellowfin seabream), 373 nucleotides. RefSeq lists it as uncharacterized. Lineage: Eukaryota; Metazoa; Chordata; Actinopteri; Spariformes; Sparidae. The record is from RefSeq and is a predicted model, not a curated record. The transcript has 3 exons.
AUAAUAACAUUGUUUUACUUUGUUUGAUGCAUUUUUGUGUUCAUCACUUUACAUUUUCCGCUGGAAAAGUUGGAGCUCAUUAAAAAAUGCAUUUACUGCUAGGCAGCAUUUGAUUAAUAAUAAUAUCUCAUCAUGAUGUGUUAGCUGUUUUUAUUUAUUUUUUAAAUAUGAUUAACUUGAAUCUGUAAAGGAACUAGUGCCUGAAGUUAUCAGAUAAAUGUCUUGGAGUACAAAGUAAAUUAUUUGACUCAAAAAUGUAGCGAAAUAGUAAACCUAUAAAGAAGCAGAAAAUGGAAUUUUUUGUCCCCAGGCCUUCUGCUGUAAGACAGAGAAUCUGCCUGUCCAUCUCAAAGAGUGAAGAAAUGCAACCCAC